Molecule: ribosomal RNA, 577 nt
Filed under: uncultured Pasteurella sp.
Lineage: Bacteria; Pseudomonadati; Pseudomonadota; Gammaproteobacteria; Pasteurellales; Pasteurellaceae
Description: bacterial SSU rRNA
Rfam family: Bacterial small subunit ribosomal RNA
Source: RNAcentral
CUUUCUUUGCUGACGAGUGGCGGACGGGUGAGUAAUGCUUGGGAAUCUGGCUUAUGGAGGGGGAUAACUGUGGGAAACUGCAGCUAAUACCGCGUAUUCUCUGAGGAGGAAAGGGUGGGACCUUAGGGCCACCUGCCAUAAGAUGAGCCCAAGUGGGAUUAGGUAGUUGGUGGGGUAAAGGCCUACCAAGCCUGCGAUCUCUAGCUGGUCUGAGAGGAUGACCAGCCACACUGGAACUGAGACACGGUCCAGACUCCCACGGGAGGCAGCAGUGGGGAAUAUUGCGCAAUGGGGGGAACCCUGACGCAGCCAUGCCGCGUGAAUGAAGAAGGCCUUCGGGUUGUAAAGUUCUUUCGGUAAUGAGGAAGGGAUGUUGUUAAAUAGAUAGCAUCAUUGACGUUAAUUACAGAAGAAGCACCGGCUAACUCCGUGCCAGCAGCCGCGGUAAUACGGAGGGUGCGAGCGUUAAUCGGAAUAAUUGGGCGUAAAGGGCACGCACGCGGACUUUUAAGUGAGAUGUGAAAUCCCCGAGCUUAACUUAGGAACUGCAUUUCAGACUGGGAGUCUAGAGUACUUU